GAUGAACGCUAGCUAUAGGCUUAACACAUGCAAGUCGAGGGGAAACGGCAUUAUGUGCUUGCACAUUUUGGACGUCGACCGGCGCACGGGUGAGUAUCGCGUAUCCAACCUGCCCUUUACUUGGGGAUACCCCGUUGAAAGACGGCCUAAUACCCGAUGUAAUUCAUUGAUGGCAUCAGAUAUGAAUAAAAGAUUUAUCGGUAAAGGAUGGGGAUGCGUCUGAUUAGCUUGUUGGUGAGGUAACGGCUCACCAAGGCGACGAUCAGUAGGGGUUCUGAGAGGAAGGUCUCCCACAUUGGAACUGAGACACGGUCCAAACUCCUACGGGAGGCAGCAGUGAGGAAUAUUGGUCAAUGGGCGCAAGCCUGAACCAGCCAAGUAGCGUGCAGGAAGACGGCCCUAUGGGUUGUAAACUGCUUUUAUACGAGAAUAAUUUGAUGCACGUGUGCGUUAUUGCAUGUAUCGUAUGAAUAAGGACCGGCUAAUUCCGUG
RNAcentral lists this ribosomal RNA (492 nucleotides) under uncultured bacterium. RNAcentral describes it as "partial 16S ribosomal RNA". It matches the Rfam family "Bacterial small subunit ribosomal RNA", at positions 28 to 507 of the family's 1533-position model. The record is from RNAcentral.